Molecule: ribosomal RNA, 790 nt
Filed under: Anthribidae gen. sp. A BHJ-2011
Lineage: Eukaryota; Metazoa; Arthropoda; Insecta; Coleoptera; Anthribidae
Description: eukaryotic LSU rRNA
Rfam family: Eukaryotic large subunit ribosomal RNA
Source: RNAcentral
GUUCAGGGGUAAACCUGAGAAACCCGAAAGGUCGAAAGGGGAAAUUCAUUCGCGUUUCGAUCGUCGGCGCGUGUCGGUCGAGCGACGAAGGGCGUUCGCGCCCGACGCGCCUUCCGUCACGUCGAACCGGCGUCGAACGCGUGCACUUUUCCCCUAGUAGGACGUCGCGAUCCGUUGGGCGUCGACCUAAGGCCCGCGGUGGAGCCCGGGCGAAAUCGGUUCGCGCCGUUUCGCCCGGACCCGCGGUGUUUCCCGGUCGGCACGCUCGACGGUAUACAGAUGGCGCGAGGCCGCUACGCUCGGUUAGCGUCCGGCCCGUCGCAAGCGCGCCGGAGUGUCGAAGAUCGGACCUAGCGCCGAUCCCGGCCCCCGGUGACUGUUGGCGACGGUGUUCUCGGACAGACCUCGUCUUAACGCCGAUCUGCGACGCUAUAGCUUUGGGUACUUUCAGGACCCGUCUUGAAACACGGACCAAGGAGUCUAGCAUGUGCGCGAGUCAUUGGGACAUAACUAAACCUAAAGGCGCAAUGAAAGUAAAGGCCCGCCUCGCGCGGGCCGAGGGAGGAUGGGCGGUUCGCCGUUAAAAGUGACCGCUCCGCACUCCCGGGGCGUCUCGUUCUCAUCGCGAGAAGAGGCGCACCAAGAGCGUACACGCUGGGACCCGAAAGAUGGUGAACUAUGCCUGGUCAGGACGAAGUCAGGGGAAACCCUGAUGGAGGUCCGUAGCGAUUCUGACGUGCAAAUCGAUCGUCGGAACUGGGUAUAGGGGCGAAAGACUAAUCGAACCAUC